Camponotus floridanus (Florida carpenter ant) is the source of this 153-nucleotide long non-coding RNA. RefSeq lists it as uncharacterized. The transcript has 3 exons. The record is from RefSeq and is a predicted model, not a curated record. NCBI's taxonomy places the organism in Eukaryota, Metazoa, Arthropoda, Insecta, Hymenoptera, Formicidae.
CUGACUCUUUGGCCAUUCUCUGCGCUGCCUUGCCACUUCUUCAGGUUCUCACCGAGGUCGAGCAACCCAGGGAAGGAGCAGCGGUGCCUGUAUUCAUCCAUUGAUCCCGUCAUCCGGUACCUUUCUACGCAUCAUCAUGGUUAACCCCCGCCG